GCGGGUUUAGCUCAGUUGGGAGAGCGUCAGACUGAAGCUAGCUCUUCCCCUUAUAUGAGGAGAAAGAACUACCCAAACUUCAAUCCAUCUAUCUGAAGGUCGUGUGUUCGAUCCACACAAACCGCA
This is a non-coding RNA of Apodospora peruviana, 126 nucleotides long. The record is from the annotation of a GenBank genome assembly. NCBI's taxonomy places the organism in Eukaryota, Fungi, Ascomycota, Sordariomycetes, Sordariales, Lasiosphaeriaceae.